GACGAACGCUGGCGGCGUGCUUAACACAUGCAAGUCGAGCGGAAAGGCCCUUCGGGGUACUCGAGCGGCGAACGGGUGAGUAACACGUGAGUAACCUGCCCCAGACUUUGGGAUAACCCUCGGAAACGGGGGCUAAUACCGGAUACGACACAGCUUCGCAUGGGGUCUGUGUGGAAAGUUUUUCGGUUUGGGAUGGGCUCGCGGCCUAUCAGCUUGUUGGUGGGGUGAUGGCCUACCAAGGCGACGACGGGUAGCCGGCCUGAGAGGGCGACCGGCCACACUGGGACUGAGAGACGGCCCAGACGCCUACGGGAGGCAGCAGUGGGGAAUAUUGCACAAUGGGCGGAAGCCUGAUGCAGCGACGCCGCGUGAGGGAUGACGGCCUUCGGGUUGUAAACCUCUUUCAGCAGGGACGAAGCGUAAGUGACGGUACCUGCAGAAGAAGCGCCGGCCAACUACGUG
This 462-nucleotide ribosomal RNA is filed under the name uncultured bacterium. Its description in RNAcentral is "partial 16S ribosomal RNA". It matches the Rfam family "Bacterial small subunit ribosomal RNA", at positions 28 to 507 of the family's 1533-position model. The record is from RNAcentral.